GGGGUCGUGGCCAAGCCCGGCAUGGCGACUGACUCCAGAGGCUUGAUGCCCGGUGACGAAACUCCAGACUGAUAUACCGAGCAAUUGACUGAUCAUCAAUUGUGACGACGACCCUCUGGAGUACCGAGGCGCAUACCGGAGAUAUCAGUCGAUCGGGGGUUCAAAUCCCUCCGACCCCA
RNAcentral lists this transfer RNA (179 nucleotides) under Haloquadratum sp. J07HQX50. It matches the Rfam family "tRNA". Rfam says of the family: Transfer RNA (tRNA) molecules are approximately 80 nucleotides in length. Their secondary structure includes four short double-helical elements and three loops (D, anti-codon, and T loops). Lineage: Archaea; Methanobacteriati; Methanobacteriota; Halobacteria; Halobacteriales; Haloferacaceae. The record is from Rfam by way of RNAcentral.